Long non-coding RNA from Onychostoma macrolepis, 760 nucleotides. RefSeq lists it as uncharacterized. Lineage: Eukaryota; Metazoa; Chordata; Actinopteri; Cypriniformes; Cyprinidae. The transcript has 3 exons. The record is from RefSeq and is a predicted model, not a curated record.
CAUUCAUCCUGAAACUUGCUAAUUAGCACAUUAUUAGGAAAGGCGAUUUGCAAAGAUUCAUUUAAAAAACCUUGUACUAACUUCUUCUGGAGGUGAAGCUGGAUCACGAAUGAAUCGCGCGAACAUAGACGCAUUUAGGUAGCCUGACUAAGUCAGACUUCGUACUUCAGCUCAAUUUCAGUUCGCUUCUGUACUCAGUCUGAUAUAGCAGACCAUCUCUCAGUUUAUCUCCGGCUCCACAGCAGCCGGCCAACCAACGAACAGAGCCGUGAUGUAGACGCUAAGCGCUGAAUUUAAGAUUGUAGUUUAGGUUUAGGUGAGGGAAAUCUAACACGACAGCGGACAUGGAGACACGGCUUUUGUUCCAGACACCUGUUUGUAUGUGAAUGGAGCAGACAUGGGUAUAUAACGAGGAUGACUGACAGAUGGAAUUACCUUUGAAAGAAUAUCAAGCUGGACUUCUUCGACUGGAUAUUUCACAUCAAAAGUCCAGAUGAGUUUAUAGUGCAUUUCUUAAGACGUGCGGAUACUUUUCAUUACAAAAGGAUAUUGUCAAGGGGCUGAAUGAAGUGCAGAUCCACUAACUUUUGGAAGUCCCAUCCGUCUCACGGUCAAUCCAAAAGAUACACCGAAAAUCCCUCCGAUUCUGUCCAUCUUGUCCCCUUUAAAGGGCAGUGGACCAGAUAUUUGUCUGGCCGCCGGGUUCUAUCCUGGAGAAAAGACUAUGACUUUGACUUUGGAAGAUAAACAACUUGUAAAU